This 530-nucleotide ribosomal RNA is filed under the name Exophiala dermatitidis. RNAcentral describes it as "partial large subunit ribosomal RNA". It matches the Rfam family "Eukaryotic large subunit ribosomal RNA", at positions 114 to 656 of the family's 3401-position model. The record is from RNAcentral. Lineage: Eukaryota; Fungi; Ascomycota; Eurotiomycetes; Chaetothyriales; Herpotrichiellaceae.
UUUGAAAUCUGGCCUCUUUGGGGUCCGAGUUGUAAUUUGUAGAGGAUGUUUCGGGCACCGCUCCGGUUUAAAUUUCUUGGAACAGAAUGUCAAAGAGGGUGAGAACCCCGUCUUGGACCGGCAGUAGGGCCCAUGUGAAACUCCUUCGACGAGUCGAGUUGUUUGGGAAUGCAGCUCAAAAUGGGUGGUAAAUUUCAUCUAAAGCUAAAUAUUGGCCAGAGACCGAUAGCGCACAAGUAGAGUGAUCGAAAGAUGAAAAGCACUUUGAAAAGAGAGUUAAACAGUACGUGAAAUUGUUGAAAGGGAAGCGCUUGCAACCAGACUUGCGCGCGGCGGUUCCCCCUUCCUUUUGGUUGGGUUAUUCCGCCGUGUCCAGGCCAACAUCGGUUCUGGGGGUCGGUUAAAGGCCUGGGGAAUGUAUCUACCCUUCGGGCGUAGACUUAUAGCCCCGGGUGUCAUGCGACCUCCCGGGACCGAGGAACGCGCUUCGGCUCGGAUGUUGGCGUAAUGGUUGUCAGCGACCCGUCUUG